Molecule: long non-coding RNA, 1098 nt
Organism: Nylanderia fulva
Lineage: Eukaryota; Metazoa; Arthropoda; Insecta; Hymenoptera; Formicidae
Source: RefSeq, a predicted model, not a curated record
UUCAAGUUCUGCGUUUGAAUAAGUAAAUUAGUGUACGUGCUGCGUGAAUAUUGAGUAUGAAGAUUAAGUUUUUACAUGGUAAUUUUUACAUGGCAUAAGAAAAUAGGCGAAGGGAAUCAUUGCAAUUUCUUUCAAGGAUAACCCGUGGCGAGGAUUAUCUCGUUUCAUGUCGACUUACAUCCGAGAUCUGCGGCAGCAGGAUGUUAUCGCGUGGCCCGAUGAUGUUGCUGGGAAAUUUGCUAAAGAUUAUCGGACUCUCCGGAGUCGGUACACCCUGCUCUUUACAAUGACCGCUAUAGUUGAGACCGAUGCAGGCGAGUUUGUCCAUUCGUGUAACUGGCGCCAAGAAGUUCACGUCAUUCUCGGGUGUGAUGCUCCGUCCCUCGGCGACUAUUCUGUAACCAUCGUCAGUCGAGUCAAGAAUAGACCUUGAAAUCGUUUCAUGAAAGUUAAUCAACUCGCACGCGAGGUGAACUCUAGCUAAUUAAGUAUAUUUUUCUUUUUUCUUUUUUGCGCGAUAAAAGUAUAGAUCCUUACGAUAGAAUUUUACGAUGUUAGAAAAAACAAAUACGAUCGUAUGCAGAAAUACGGUAGAAGAUACAAAGGAAAACAUUUUUUUAAUAUAUUUGCAGGCACACAAAUUUGCUUGCAUUUUCUUUUUUGUAAGUUUGUUAUUGCCCAAUAAUAGGCAACAUGCGGUUUUAUGUGCGCUUAACAAACGAAUUUUUAGAGAAAAAGUGAAGACUCACAAUAGUAAGCCGUAUAACAACACCAGUUUAAAGCUUUUGCAGUUAAUUUUUUUCGUCAUUAAUUUUGUAUUGUUGAUCGAUAAAGCACGAGCUUGCGGUUUGCGUAUUUGUCGUAGCUUAUCAUUUCCGAUAAAUUGUGUUAUUCUGGUCAAUCCCAACAUGCGCGUGAUAGAUUUUUUUACAAAUGUGUUUCUUGCCGAUUAAUCUGCUCAUGGUCAAAAUUACAUAACAGAAACGUUGCGUGUGGUUUUAAGUUUUCGUAAAAUAUGACGUGUUGUGACGUGUUGUAUGAGUAAUAUUUCUCAUUUAACUGAAGUAUUUACAUAGUUAAUAUAUCAUGUACAGAUUC